AAACCGGUGAAGUAUCUAGAGGGCUUAUUAGGACACUGCUCAUAUUGUUUGAUACUUUACCAUCUGGGGAUUAGGCUAUCGGUGAACACGACAAUGCGGCUGUUGGUCACGGAUGCCGGGGGCGUGAGCGGGGUUGAGGAGCUCACGUGGUGCUAUACAUGACGACCUGCGAGUGGUGGCAGGAGGUGGCAUGCCUGCUGCUUGGCUGGAAGUCCGACAUGAACUCCCACGACCGACUGUAAGCAUGGUACGUACCCAAUCGUCAAACUAUCUUCUUUCACCUCCUUCUUAUGUAGAAAUUAAACUUCGCUGCACAACGGGCAUUCCUACUUUCAGUCAGUCAUUUUUGCCCAUUACGAUUGUUAAUACUAAGUGUACAUGUCACCCACAUUCGACCAGUGUAUUGCAUUUGAAUUACCUUGAUCUAUGGAAAUAGUUAUAUAGGCAUGCUACGUGCAAGUGCUUAUCUAGGCAAUUCAAAGUUCAGCCUGUAGUUUUAUGCACACCAACCCAGUCAGCAAUAGAUGCAUGGUUGCCCAUGCGUUGCCACAGAACAAUCCUAGAGUGGGGCAGUGCUAUCCUAAAGUGGGGAUGAGAGGAUUCAGCGGCUGCACCGGUGGCUUGUCUAUCUCCAGGAGAUGGAGUGCGCCGCCUCAUCGAUGUGGGAGCUGCAUUGCACUAACAGGGCACGAUGCCUCAUGGAUGCGGGAGCUGCAGUGCACUAUUUAAGAGUUCAAAAGCAUGAAGGAGGAAAUUACCUACAAGUGUUUAAGAUCACGAAGGAGGAUGUCAAAGUUUUCCAUUGUCAAGGACUUGUGAGCAAGUAGUAUAUGAACUUCACUCUGAUUCUAACAAAAAAGUUGGCUAUCUGAUUCUAAAAAUAAGAGCAGAAAAUAAUAGAGAUGUAUCUACAUGUGUGUGCAUUAAAAUUCAUUUUAUUCUGUUAGUCGAGAUUAUAACCUUUCAAACAUUACUUAUCCAGGUUGUGAAGACCUUCCAGCAUUACCCCAGGAAGCUAACACAUCAGCUUGUGCCAUACGUGGUGUUUUCUUGUUGAUGAAUGUUGGUCUAGGUAAU
Molecule: long non-coding RNA, 1077 nt
Filed under: Triticum aestivum (bread wheat)
Lineage: Eukaryota; Viridiplantae; Streptophyta; Magnoliopsida; Poales; Poaceae
Description: long non-coding RNA (TAES_LNC006526)
Source: RNAcentral